This 252-nucleotide ribosomal RNA is filed under the name uncultured bacterium. RNAcentral describes it as "partial 16S ribosomal RNA". It matches the Rfam family "Bacterial small subunit ribosomal RNA", at positions 524 to 775 of the family's 1533-position model. The record is from RNAcentral.
UACGUAGGGGGCAAGCGUUGUCCGGAUUUAUUGGGCGUAAAGGGUCCGCAGGCGGUUUGGUAAGUUUGACGUGACAGUUCCUGGCUCAACUGGGAAAGUGCGUUGGAAACUGCCAGACUUGAGGGCUUCAGAGGGAUGCGGAAUUCCGGGUGGAGUGGUGAAAUGCGUAGAUAUCCGGAGGAACACCAAAGGCGAAGGCAGCAUCCUGGGAAGUCACUGACGCUCAGGGACGAAAGCUAGGGGAGCGAACGG